CAGGAAACCCCUUCAUCUUUGAGCCCAUCCGUGCCACAUCCAUCUGAGAACUCCGGUAAGUGCCCUAUUUAUUCAUGUUUUCAUCACUGACGGAUGUUUAGUACAAGUAAUUCAGCGGGGGGGGGGACCCUAGAAUCUGAAUUUCUCUGAUUUCUCCCGUAGGUCUCUUAACAGUUAUUUUGCUGUCAGAGCGAACCUGCUGGACAGUCUCUAAAACGAUGGAGGCUCCUUUUAAUUUAGAACUCAGAACAAAUUACAUGGAGACAUAACAGGACAGAGCAGUAAUCAUGUGUGAAGAAGGAAAGGCUAACAGUGGGGAUCCUACUGCUAAUGAGAAGAGUGACUGCAAUGGGAACAGUAAAAAUGAACCAAAGGCUUCUGAAAAUACAGAACUGAUGAUUGAGCCCUUACAAGGGGCAGAACCACGUGGUUGUGGAUGGAGAGCAAACCUGAGGGAGAUGCCAUUUUGGAUACGUGUUACAAUAGUCGGUGCCAUCGCUUCUGUUGUCUGUGUCAUCACUGCUUUUGUUGUCUUGGAUGCCACUGGUGAGUUCUCAACCCUCUUCUCGAUCCUCCUCUUUGACUGAUAUUUUGCAGUUUCUGCCUCUAUGUCUGCCUGUCACUGGGUCUGCAUAGUUUCCCUCUGCACCUCCAGCCUGGCUCUGGCUGCCCUGCCACAGCAGCACCAGAAACAGCAGCCACACCCCGUCCAGCAGCCCUGGGAAGGGCCGUUGGAUGGCAACUACCAGCACGUUCUCCUUGAUGGGGUGGUCUACUCCCCUUCCAUGCCUGAUGCUGCUCUUGUGCUGGGCUGGGGGUAGCUGGCUCACCCUGCCCACCAGAGAGCCUUGGCAGGCAGGGACAUUGGAGUGGCAGUGGAAGGGGGGGGGAGAGAGAGAACAGAUGGAUGGUGCCACCCUGGCCAACUCAGUGGCAAAACAGAGUGUGGGUGUGCUCUGGGGCGACCACCCCUCUGCCCCUUACAGUACACCGCUGCCUACAACUCAUAGCUAAAAGGUCUAACAUAUACUAUAAAACAAUCACAGCCCAUUCUAGACAGUAAAAUAAAAAGUAAUUGCACGUACGCUUCA
RNAcentral lists this long non-coding RNA (1091 nucleotides) under Pogona vitticeps (central bearded dragon). RNAcentral describes it as "lncRNA (ENSPVIG00000010864.1)". The record is from RNAcentral. Lineage: Eukaryota; Metazoa; Chordata; Lepidosauria; Squamata; Agamidae.